UAACCCUCCUCAAAUGGAGUUCCUCUGGUUUAAAGAUGGCCGCCCACUUCCUGGUGUCUCUGGUGUCCAUGGUGGGCAGUAUCUCCUAGGUCCACUUUCCCCUAAUGACACUGGGAGCUACUCCUGUGGUCUGGGCAAGGCACAUCUACACCAAUACUGCUGGAUGUGAGAUAUGCUCCAAGGAACGUUUCUGUUAAGGUCAGCCCGAGCAACGAGGUAGUGAAAGGCAGUCGUCUGACUCUGACCUGCAGUAAUAACGCCAACCCUGCAGCAGAGACCUACACCUGGUUUCAGAGGACAGGAACGCUAACUUCACUAAGAUUAGGGAUGGGGAAAGAACACACCUUCCUCGAAAUAGAUUCUGAUGACAGUGGACUGUACUUCUGUAUGGCCCAGAAUGCCGUUGGAUCACAGAACUCUACAGAACAGGAGGUGAAAGUUAAAGACGGAAGUUGAAUACGGCCGAGAAGAAGCUUCCAACCAAACCAGUCACCCAGUUACAGAAAGCAACCUUGUCUAGACCAGAGGACAUCUAUGAAAACAUGAAAUGGUCAGCCAAGCCGAUCACUGAUCCUGAUGACAUGAACUAUGCAGAGCUCAAUAUCAGGCCUGCUCCUUCACCCAGCAUGCAGCGGAAUAACAAGGCAGGGGAUGACGAUGCAGUUAUCUACAGACAACUGCAAACACACUGAGGUGGUCAGAGAACUUUGAUAUCUAGACCUCAAGGCCUACAGUAUGGUAAACUCAAGAAAAGUGAAUGAA
Oncorhynchus gorbuscha (pink salmon) is the source of this 762-nucleotide RNA transcript. It is a transcript of the gene named B-cell receptor CD22-like, with no coding region annotated. NCBI's taxonomy places the organism in Eukaryota, Metazoa, Chordata, Actinopteri, Salmoniformes, Salmonidae. The record is from RefSeq and is a predicted model, not a curated record. The transcript is spliced from 5 exons.